This is an RNA transcript of Drosophila montana, 984 nucleotides long. RefSeq lists it as uncharacterized. The transcript is spliced from 6 exons. NCBI's taxonomy places the organism in Eukaryota, Metazoa, Arthropoda, Insecta, Diptera, Drosophilidae. The record is from RefSeq and is a predicted model, not a curated record.
UUCAUUCAGAGCUUGUAACUCAAAUACUAUCUUUAAUUCGACCUAAAAAUUUACUAUAUUUUGGCAUAGGUUAUUUUUUCCUAAUCCUGGUUUAGUUUAAAAUUUUAUAAAAAUUAUGGAUUACUUUGAGAAUGCACAAAUUGGUGGUUAUCGGAUCGAUAUGCCAUUUCCCCAACUAUUUUAUCCCGAGAUGAACGGCACUAAUAAGAGCUACGAUCAGGCAGGUGCUCCGCAUAUGAGUGGCCAACAAUUCCAAAGCGAAUAUUACGACGGCGGCUGCAAGCCGGACCUUGGCCAUUCACGGUAUGGAUGCAAUGAGGAUUACCCACCCCGGCAUUCCGUGACCAACAGCUCGUUCGAAUAUCGUAGCAUGAGCCGUAAUAAUCGCAGAGCCCGGGAAAUGUUGGCCCGCAAUGGUUUAUAUACACCCAAUGAUAGAUGUAAUAAGCAGCAGCCUGAGUAUCCUCAAUUUGCGGAUGAUUCUAUUGGACAGUCGGUCACGGUCAACUCGUAUUGGCAAUAAUGGUGAUGUCUCGAACUCCAUUCUUUAUUAUAUAAGUUAUUUUCGUAGUAAAAGUUCGUUUUCGGUCAUAUAAUGAAUGCCAGGACGGACGUUCGUCUUUCAAAAAUUCCUUAACAGAAUAAUAUGUGGAAAAUUGGUGGAAGGACGUUGCAAAACCUCAGAUUGGAUAGUUUAUCAAUUCUAGCGCCUCAUUGGCCGGGAAAAAUCGGGGAUAAAUGUGAAGCUCGCUGCGGGGGUCGGGGGAUGCUGCUGUAGGGUAAUUAACGUGUGUUUUAUGGGCAUUUGCCACAGCAUAGAAACACACGCAGUCCGAAUUGUAUUCGCACCGGCUCCCGCUCCCACACUGCGGCUGCAUGCAGACCGAACCCGGGAUGGAGCUCAAGGCGCCCAAACCAAACAGAAUGCAAUGAAGGAUUAAAAUAAGAAAGAUGUGCAAAUAAAAUAUUUUACAAACGGACAAA